This is a non-coding RNA of Peromyscus maniculatus bairdii (prairie deer mouse), 2279 nucleotides long. The record is from RefSeq and is a predicted model, not a curated record. Lineage: Eukaryota; Metazoa; Chordata; Mammalia; Rodentia; Cricetidae.
CAUUUCUUCAGUGCCUACAGGGUACACCAUUAGAUAUGUUCUCCAGACUGAGGAGUCUCCUUAGGAGAGAGAAUGUAGUACAUCCAGAGACCAGAGAGAGGCAGAAAGAAGCUGGCAUUCAGUCUCAGCGUACAAUAGGAUUAAGAAAAUGGUUCUGUCGGAGGCAAAAGACUGCAAUGGAGCCAUCAUCCCACCCAACCCUCCUCACCAAGAAGGAGGUGAAGAAAGAAAUAGAGAGGCUGACCACGAAGCUGCAGCUUGCGACAGACCAAAGGAAUCAGCUGCGAGAUUGUCUGCUCUUCAUCACGGAAGGGACCGUAGAUAAUAGGCCCUACCACCAGCCAAAUCCUUUCUAUCACAAACUGAGGAUGGAGCAUAAACGAGUCAUGAAGGAACUGAACACCUUGCAGAAUGAGAACACCGAGGCUUCAAAGAAGUUCAGUGAGCAGACCAAGGAGACACUCUUCUAUCGUGGUCUGCACAGCCGGCUCCUGAUGGAACAAACUCAGCUGGAGAAGAAGGUGGGCAUGCUGAGGCAGGAGAAAAUGAAACUGCUGGAGGAUUGGGUCCUGCUGAAGCACCAUUCAAAGGAGUUGAAAAUGAUCUGUGAGGACCAAGAGGAGAAAACCAGUGACCUCAAGACCCAGCAACGACAGGUAGGUGGGUAAGGCUAAGAGUCUGGCACCAUUUGCCCAUUUGACUGCCUGUCUGCCCAUCCACCCACUCAUCACCUUACUCAUCCAUGCUCCCAUCCAGCCACUUCUCAUGCCAUCCAUUUCAGUGUCCAUGCACAAGUACUUCUGGGAAGUCAGCCUCUUCUGAGAAACUGAAUUAUUGGCAAGCAAUCCCCUGCUGCUCUGCUUGAAGCUGCAGUCCAGUGUAGGAGAUGGGUCAAUAACCUAUAACACACCUACAUGUCAUUAUUAUAGGUAGGGUUCUGUGCCCAGAGCUUUGAGUGAGUGAGUUAGUUCUGCGUCCUGGGGCUCAUUUGCUUGGCAAGGCUCAUAUGAGAUCACAGGUGGGAAGUAGUUUGUAAGGAGGAGAUCUCUGUGCACAUGCCAAAUGAGUGCUUCUCAUUUCUUGGAUUAGGGUGGCAUGUGGCCUUCUCCUUUCUUCCUGCAUCCCAAUGUGUUCUCUUCAGUUUGCCCAGCUCUUGGUUCACAGGGACAGAAGCCUGAGUAGCAGGUUGUCAGCCCUGUUUUCUGUGAGUGGUGCUCACAGUUCUCCCAUCCAGGAGAAUAUAGUCUGGGGUUCAUUGGAUGAUCAGCUGGAGGCUUUUCACAAGAUGAUGGUGGAAGAUGAGAGAUUUGGGACUACAGGGGCAAAAUUUUGUUAACCAGCUUCCUAUUGUCUGACCAAAAAAAUCAUGUUUCCCACAGCAGUAUUAGUCCCCAAGAAGUGAUGGCCAAGUGGUGAGACUCUUCUUAAAGGGCUAGUAUGGAGCUUCAAAGAUUGGAGGAAAGAGUUCAGUUCUGGCUGAAGCAAAAGGAUAUGGUCACCCAAAAAAAGGACUUGGCAGAAAAGCUGCACCAUUAAUUUGAAGGCUCCCAGAUGAGGUCCAGAAAGCUCCGGCUGGAACAGGCCACAGCCCAGGGUGGGAGCCCCUUGCAGAGGGAGGCUCUACAGCAAGAGACACCUGCUGAGCCCCAUUCCCAGCAACCGCUGAAAUCUGGGGAUGAAGUUUCUUCUUCAGAUUUGGUUUCCACUGUGGAAUAGGCCUUGACUGUGCCUAGCCAGUGACCCCACCAUGGCUACUUCUGGGUCUCGACUCUCUUUCCUUCUUGACAACACCUUUUGUGAGAACUGAGGAAGACAAAGGAAGCCACAGACAACUAGAGAGCAUGGCAUUCACCACCCUUGGAUCUAGGCCUCCUCAGAAAAUGACACCUUUUUGUAGCUGUGAACUCAGAAGGAGCAAAAUCCCUUACCCUUGGGGAGAACAUGGCAUAGAAAGCCCCAAAGAGGAGUGGCUAUACUCCUCUUGAAAAUGCUGUUAUAAUUGGUGACUGUCUUCCUAGCAUGUCUCCAAGGCCAGCCACAGGUUGUAGAUCUGUGCUAUUCAAUCUGCAGUGAGAGAAUGCUGCUUAUCUUAAUUUUUCUUUGAUUUUUGGUUUAGGAUUUUGGGUUUUUUUGUUGCUUCGGUUUGGGUUUUAUUAAUUUGAUGUUAUUUUUCAUAAUUUGCUAAGGCUAUUUACUGUUUAUAUUGACUGCCCUUUUAGAGCCCCUUUUGAGAAAAAAUGUAAUUUUUUGAAUAAAAAAAAGCUAUUUUCAACUCUUCA